This is a long non-coding RNA of Austrofundulus limnaeus, 1397 nucleotides long. RefSeq lists it as uncharacterized. Lineage: Eukaryota; Metazoa; Chordata; Actinopteri; Cyprinodontiformes; Rivulidae. The record is from RefSeq and is a predicted model, not a curated record. The transcript is spliced from 3 exons.
UUUUCGUUGCUCAUGUUUAAUUAUGUUUUUCUGUUUCAUUUUAUUCUUUUCACCAUUUUUACACUGUUAAUGAUCGUACAGCACCUUCUAUUAAAGGCGCUUUAUAAAUAAAACUUUACUUACUCACAGGGUGGUCCCACUGUCCUCUGGAGACCCUCUUCAUUUAACUCUGUCUGCAUGAUGACACGUCUCUGCUGGACUCAGAGAAGAUCCAAAGCWGCUUCAAACGGUGGAGGUUUGGGUUUUCCUGGAAGGAGCUCAGAUGGUCCUACAGGAUGAGCGAGCAUCUCUCUCUCUCUCAGCUCGCCCUUCCAGUCCACACCUGUCCCAGAGGAGCAGGAUCAAUAAUUGCACCAAAAGCAGCCUGAUCAGAGAGUCUGAGAGCUUCAAAGUGGUGGUUCUGAUGGUGAAGUGUGGACUGAAGAGGAGGACAGGAUCUGACUGUCUGCAUCAGGUUCAGGAAACCCAGAUUUGUGAUGAGGAUGAUGUUAAAGAACAGAAACUGUGAGAUGUUCACUGACUUCUGAUCUCAUGAGGAGAACCAGCAGAACUCAACUGGUCUGAAUGGAGCUGCAGUGGUUUGGGUGAGAAGUCCACCUUCGUUGUUCUGCAGCCUGUGAGGAGAUCUGCUGAGGAACACGAGCUGGAGGGAUGGAUGACAAAUAAAACAUUAAAAUAACAAGUUUUAWUUUAAAACCUUUAUUUUCUUGGUGUUGUUUCUGUAAUAAAUCAUAAAUAAUAAAAUAAAGUGUUUUCAGAUGGACAGGAGGAUGGGUUUAAUAAACUCUUAAUAUUUCUGCGGUUUAAAGUUUAAAAAACAUCUUCAGCUGAAGUUUACCAAGCCUUGGUGCAAACACUGCUUUGAAAUGAAAAUGUUCAAACCACGAUGGAUCCGUGCACGGCGCCGGCCCGGCCCAGUUUAAUACUUAAUGAGGAACAUUUGAAAGCUCUGCAGAAAAAACAACAACUUUCAGAUCAAUAAAUUUCUAAUGGAUGUGCUGUUCGGACCGGUCUAAAUGCUGGAAGCGUGGGCUGGAAGGUCAGGAAGUCCUGCUGCUUCAGGCUGGAGGUCACGACCUCGGAGUUGUUUACUUCAUACAAGACUGUUGAAUAAAAGAUGAGCUGCAGCUCAUGUUUUACACAACAAAGUCAGGUUUUAACUGUGACAUGCAGGAGACAAACUUCUGCUCAGUUUCUUCAUUAAUGUUGAAGUGACAAACGUUAGAGUGAAGAUCUGCUGCUGGAGCUGGUUGUUCAGGUGGCGUGGGGCAUCCCUGUGGGAGGUCAGCACACACAUCACCUGCAUGUCGCUCCUCAGRUGUGGCUGACAGGUCCGCAGCUCCGGCGCCGGGCCUUCUUGAUGUUCCAGGACCAACGGGCCCGGCGGUACCGCUCGC